GCCAAUGCAUGCUUUUACAGUAUGAAAAUUGGUGAUUUAUAAUAACUUAGCAAAUCGCAAAGUGAAAACAGGCGAUAAAUCAUUCAAGUUUCUGACCUAUCAGCUUUCGACGGUAUGGUAUUGGCUUACCGUGGCAGUGACGGUUAACGGGGGAUUAGGGUUCGAUUCCGGAGAGGGAGCCUGAGAAACGGCUACCACAUCUAAGGAAGGCAGCAGGCGCGCAAAUUACCCAAUUCUAACAGUUUGAGAGAGGUAGUAACAAGAAAUAACAAUACAAGGCAGUUAAAAUGCUUUGUAAUUGGAAUGAUAGAAAUUUAAACCCUUUUUAAAGUAUCAAUUGGAGGGCAAGUCUGGUGCCAGCAGCCGCGGUAAUUCCAGCUCCAAUAGCGUAUAUUAAAAUUGUUGCAGUUAAAAAGCUCGUAGUUGAAGUUCUGCUAAAAGUAACCGGUCUGCUUUGAAUAAAAGUGGUAUCUUGGUAUGUAUUUAGCAAUGAUGUCCUUUGAAGUGUUUUUUACUUUAUUGUAAUAAAGCAUAUUCAGGACUUUUACUUUGAGAAAAUUAGAGUGUUUCUAGCAGGCCAACGCUUUGAAUACUGCAGCAUGGAAUAAUAAG
This 612-nucleotide ribosomal RNA is filed under the name Hepatozoon canis. RNAcentral's name for it is "SSU rRNA". It matches the Rfam family "Eukaryotic small subunit ribosomal RNA", at positions 221 to 821 of the family's 1831-position model. Lineage: Eukaryota; Apicomplexa; Hepatozoidae. The record is from RNAcentral.